Zea mays is the source of this 1194-nucleotide long non-coding RNA. RefSeq lists it as uncharacterized. The transcript has 4 exons. The record is from RefSeq and is a predicted model, not a curated record. NCBI's taxonomy places the organism in Eukaryota, Viridiplantae, Streptophyta, Magnoliopsida, Poales, Poaceae.
UUUAGGAUUCUUGUUUCCGGAGGCAUACUAAACUUUGUGACGCAAAAUUUUACCUGAUGCUGGGAUGUGCAAGCAGGAAUUUAUUUCACCAGUAUGCAACAGAUGGCCAUGCCAUCGUUCGCCGUAACCUCACCUCCGUCGCAUGGCACUACCUUAUGGGCGCCUCAUGCUCGUCGUCCUCAAAGACCGCACAAGAGACACGUGCGCAGCCAAGUCCGGGCAGUGGCACAAGCACAGCUGCAGUACCAGAAGCUGGGGGACUCAGACCUCCUCAUUAGUGAGGUCACUCUUGGAACGAUGACUUUUGGCGAGCAAAACACGGAGAAGGAAGCACAUGACAUUAUCGCUUAUUCUUUCGAUCAAGGUGUCAAUAUCCUAGACACAGCAGAAAUUUACCCAGUUCCAAUGAAUAAGGAAACUCAAGGGAGAACUGAUCUUUAUAAUGGCAGGUGGAUGCAAUCAAAACCAUGAGACAAGGGUUAUGUUGUGUACCUUGUCCGUGUGAGGCGUGGUGGUAGGAAGAGGCCUUUGCCCAAGUGUAUUAUCUAUGGCAAGCCCAAGCACCAGGGUAUCACCCAACUAAAGUUCUAGAGGUACAAGAGGUCUGUCGCUAAGGAGAGAGCUAGACACAAGCUUGGUGGACUGAGGGUUCUUAACUCCUACUGGGUGAACGAGGUACAUCGGAUUGUAACAUGAACAUUCCUCUUUGAACAUACUAGCUUGUUGAUUUCUGUCAAAUCUUUUUUGCUAAUUGCUUGACAUGCCGAGCCCAUCUAUACUAACAUAGGAUAGCACCUACAAGUACUUUGAGAUCAUCCUUGUGGACGUUGCCCACAAAGACAUCAAAACAGACCCGAUGAUCAACUAGCUAUGCAACCCUUUGCACAAGCAUUGUGAGCUCCAUGGCCUCACCUCAGCAAGCAAGAAGUUUAGUGGCCUGCACCGCAAUGGCCACACUCACCACAAGAACAAGCCCUCGAGGAGAGCCGCCUGGAAACGCAACCAGACCCUCUCCCUCCACAUGUACCGUUGAGCAGCUCGUUGGGUACUUGGAUACUAUCAAUGUCCGACCAGUCCCAAGCAAGACAACAAGAUUGGUUGUCUCUUGUUGCAUUUUCAAAGUUUUGCUAUUUGUGUUCUCGGCACUUAAUGUUAGUUUAGAAGUCAAUUAUGGAUCAUAUGUCAUGAACUUUU